UUGUCAUGUUCAUGUCAUGACCUGGUCCUA
This 30-nucleotide non-coding RNA is filed under the name Mus musculus (house mouse). The record is from RNAcentral. Lineage: Eukaryota; Metazoa; Chordata; Mammalia; Rodentia; Muridae.